Molecule: ribosomal RNA, 1242 nt
Filed under: Brachyspira alvinipulli
Lineage: Bacteria; Pseudomonadati; Spirochaetota; Spirochaetia; Brachyspirales; Brachyspiraceae
Description: bacterial SSU rRNA
Rfam family: Bacterial small subunit ribosomal RNA
Source: RNAcentral
GGGGGAUAACCCAUGGAAACAUGGACUAAUACCGCAUAUACUUUUGCUACACAAGUAGAGUAGAGGAAAGGAGUGAUCCGCUUUACGAUGAGCCUGCGGCCUAUUAGCCUGUUGGUAGGGUAACGGCCUACCAAAGCUACGAUAGGUAGCCGACCUGAGAGGGUGACCGGCCACAUUGGGACUGAGAUACGGCCCAGACUCCUACGGGAGGCAGCAGCUGAGAAUCUUCCACAAUGGACGAAAGUCUGAUGGAGCGACAUCGCGUGAGGGAUGAAGGCCUUCGGGUUGUAAACCUCGGAAAUUAUCGAAGAAUGAUUGACAGUAGAUAAUGUAAGCCUCGGCUAACUACGUGCCAGCAGCCGCGGUAAUACGUAGGAGGCAAACGUUGCUCGGAUUUACUGGGCGUAAAGGGUGAGUAGGCGGACUUAUAAGUCUAAGGUGAAAGACCGAAGCUCAACUUCGGAAACGCCUCGGAUACUGUAAGUCUUGGAUAUUGUAGGGGAUGAUGGAAUUCUCGGUGUAGCGGUGGAAUGCGCAGAUAUCGAGAGGAACACCUAUAGCGAAGGCAGUCAUCUGGGCAUUUAUCGACGCUGAAUCACGAAAGCUAGGGGAGCAAACAGGCUUAGAUACCCUGGUAGUCCUAGCCGUAAACGUUGUACACUAGGUGCUUCUAUUUAAAUAGGAGUGCCGUAGCUAACGUCUUAAGUGUACCGCCUGAGGAGUAUGCCCGCAAGGGUGAAACUCAAAGAAAUUGACGGGUCCCCGCACAAGUGGUGGAGCAUGUGGUUUAAUUCGAUGAUACGCGAAAAACCUUACCUGGGUUUGAAUUGUAAGAUGAAUGAUUUAGAGAUAAGUCAGACCGCAAGGACGUUUUACAUAGGUGCUGCAUGGCUGUCGUCAGCUCGUGUCGUGAGAUGUUGGGUUAAGUCCCGCAACGAGCGCAACCCUCACCCUUUGUUGCUACCGAGUAAUGUCGGGCACUCUUAGGGGACUGCCUACGUUUAAGUGGGAGGAAGGUGGGGAUGAUGUCAAGUCCUCAUGGCCCUUAUGUCCAGGGCUACACACGUGCUACAAUGGCAAGUACAAAGAGAUGCGAGACCGCGAGGUGGAGCGAAACUCAAAAAAGUUGCCUCAGUUCGGAUUGGAGUCUGAAACUCGACUCCAUGAAGUUGGAAUCACUAGUAAUCGUAGAUCAGAACGCUACGGUGAAUACGUUCCCGGGGAUUGUACACACCGCCCGUA